This 1353-nucleotide long non-coding RNA is filed under the name Cricetulus griseus (Chinese hamster). RNAcentral describes it as "lncRNA (ENSCGRG00000025480.1)". The record is from RNAcentral. Lineage: Eukaryota; Metazoa; Chordata; Mammalia; Rodentia; Cricetidae.
GACAGGCAGAAACAAUAAUAUUCACAUUCUUGGAGGCUACGGCUUGGCUCUACUCUUCUUGGAGAGGCAAAUCUGGCCAUUGAGGCUUCUAAGUGGGAGAGUUUCCUUGCAUGUGAAGCCACACAAAAGAAAGCAGAACUGAGGAAAAGAGACAGAGUCCUAUCAACAUGGCCCGUACAUGGCUGUUAUGUCUGGCAAUGCCUGGAACCAUACCGUAAUAACUUAAUUGUUAUAUUUUCAAUUUUAGAUUGCACAUUUUUUAGAAAUCAAGUCAGUAGAUUUGAGUACCGGUUCCAGUUGGAGUUUUUAGUAUCUGCAACAGAAAGCGGUCAGGGAAAUAUAUAAUAUUAAUGAUUUUUUUUUACAAUUUCAUUUUUAUUUUUUAGAAAAUCUUCAAGAGAAAGUACCUGGGAGGGGUCUCAGAUUCAGAAAUGAUCAUUCCCUCUCUGAAUAAAUACUUUAAUUUAUAUGCUUCAUUAUGAAAACUAUUCUGCUCUGGAGAAGCAUUCACUUCUGGGUAAUAAAAGCUCUAUGAACUGUGAGGAACAUGGAGCCACAAGAUGGAAGUAUGAAGGAAUGUCACAGAACACUGGACAUUUAUCCAUCCCCAAAGUGAGGUUCACUCCUGCCUGCAACAAGACCAAACCUCCAGGGGUCCUUCCAUAUAUACAGCUCCUACACCAGCUCCAAGGACACCAACCAGGGAUGCCAAGCAGGUGAGAACUGGCAGGUUGACUUCACCCACAAGCCCACUCAAAAAAUUUCAUUGUGUCCUAACUCUCAUUGACACUUUACAGGAUGGAUAGAGGCAUUUCCCACCCCCAGAGAAACAGCAGAUGUGAUGGCUCAUGUACUGCUGAAGAACACAUCAUUCUUGAUUUGGCAUGCCAUUCCCCCAAGCUCCUGGGACAUCAGUGUUGGUACCACCUUUCCAGACUCAAGGGUCUGGCUAGCCAUGAUAACAAUCUAAUUUUUUUCUUCUAUCAACCUUCCCUCAAGGAACCGAUGCCUGAGGUCUCCAGGAUGGCAGCUAACUGAAUGCUUCUUCACCCAUUGCUCCCACUAAGAGUGAGUUCACCAAGUACCUUCUCCCCACAUCAUCCCUUGCCAGCAGGAAGUAGCUGGACUUGAACCUGUGCCCAUAUAAAUCCCAAAAGGUUGGGAUGUUGGGAAGCUCUAUCCAGCUCCACUCCUCCCACUCCAGACCCUACUUCUGAGAAAGUCUGCCAUCGAAGGCUCCUCCCUCCAGAGAUGCUUAAGACCAUACCUACAAGGUUUAAUACCUGGCCCAUAUAUCUGCCACAUGCUUUCACUCCUGCCUUCCUGAGAGUCAUAUGGGAGUGUUCUGCCUUG